This 852-nucleotide ribosomal RNA is filed under the name Pseudocercospora macadamiae. RNAcentral describes it as "eukaryotic LSU rRNA". It matches the Rfam family "Eukaryotic large subunit ribosomal RNA", at positions 113 to 1005 of the family's 3401-position model. The record is from RNAcentral. Lineage: Eukaryota; Fungi; Ascomycota; Dothideomycetes; Mycosphaerellales; Mycosphaerellaceae.
AUUUGAAAUCUGGCGCAAGCCCGAGUUGUAAUUUGUAGAGGAUGCUUCUGGGUAGCGGCCGGUCUAAGUUCCUUGGAACAGGACGUCAUAGAGGGUGAGAAUCCCGUAUGUGACUGGCUUGCACCCUCCACGUAGCUCCUUCGACGAGUCGAGUUGUUUGGGAAUGCAGCUCUAAAUGGGAGGUAAAUUUCUUCUAAAGCUAAAUACCGGCCAGAGACCGAUAGCGCACAAGUAGAGUGAUCGAAAGAUGAAAAGCACUUUGGAAAGAGAGUUAAAAAGCACGUGAAAUUGUUGAAAGGGAAGCGCCCGCAACCAGACUUUGCGGCAGUGUUCGGCCGGUCUUCUGACCGGUUUACUCGCUGUCGUGAGGCCAUCAUCGUCUGGGACCGCUGGAUAAGACCUUAGGAAUGUGGCUCCCCUCGGGGAGUGUUAUAGCCUCUGGUGAUGCAGCGCGUCUCGGGCGAGGUCCGCGCUUCGGCAAGGAUGAUGGCGUAAUGGUUGUCGGCGGCCCGUCUUGAAACACGGACCAAGGAGUCUAACAUCUAUGCGAGUGUUCGGGUGUCAAACCCCUACGCGUAAUGAAAGUGAACGGAGGUGAGGAACUUUUUGUGCACCAUCGACCGAUCCUGAUGUCCUCGGAUGGAUUUGAGUAAGAGCAUAGCUGUUGGGACCCGAAAGAUGGUGAACUAUGCCUGAAUAGGGUGAAGCCAGAGUAACUCUGGUGGAGGCUCGCAGCUGUCUGACGUGCAAUCGAUCGUCAAAUUUGGUAUAGGGGCGAAGACUCAUCGACAUCUAGUAGCUGUACGCUGCCGCAGUUUCCCUCAGGAUAGCACUAACGUCUUCAAUAUUGAG